GACGAACGCUGGCGGCGUGCUUAACACAUGCAAGUCGAACGGAAAGGCCCCUUUGGGGGUCCUCGAGUGGCGAACGGGUGAGUAACACGUGAGUAACCUGCCCUUGACUUCGGGAUAACUUCAGGAAACUGGGGCUAAUACCGGAUAGGAAUCCUUGCUGCAUGGUGGGGUUGGAAAGCUUCGGCGGUUUUGGAUGGACUCGCGGCUUAUCAGCUUGUUGGUGGGGUAGUGGCUUACCAAGGCUUUGACGGGUAGCCGGCCUGAGAGGGCGACCGGCCACAUUGGGACUGAGAUACGGCCCAGACUCCUACGGGAGGCAGCAGUGGGGAAUAUUGCACAAUGGGCGGAAGCCUGAUGCAGCAACGCCGCGGGCGGGAUGACGGCCUUCGGGUUGUAAACCGCUUUCAGCAGGGGCGAAGCUUGUGGUGACGGUACCUGCAGAAGAAGCACCGGCUAACUACGUG
This 464-nucleotide ribosomal RNA is filed under the name uncultured bacterium. Its description in RNAcentral is "partial 16S ribosomal RNA". It matches the Rfam family "Bacterial small subunit ribosomal RNA", at positions 28 to 507 of the family's 1533-position model. The record is from RNAcentral.